This 875-nucleotide long non-coding RNA is filed under the name Homo sapiens (human). RNAcentral's name for it is "HSALNT0348759". The record is from RNAcentral. Lineage: Eukaryota; Metazoa; Chordata; Mammalia; Primates; Hominidae.
GGCAAGGACUAUGUCCUAUUCCACCUUGAAUUCUCAUCACCAAGCGGAACGCCUGACACCUAAUCUAGUCAGUGCUUACUAAGUGCUCAUUAUCAAUGCAAGAAUAACAGAGCUAUGGAACCUGGCAGCCACCUCUUUUCUUUGGGCCUCAGUCUUCUCAUGCAGAACUUGGGAUUGGACUAAAUUGGAUCUCCUAGGCUGCCUCUGACUCUAACAAUUCUCUGAUUUAAAUUAUUCUUCAUCUGGAUGUAAUCCACCUUGCUUUUCCAUCCCAGGCUCUGUUCUCACUCAUGGCUGAUGGGCAAAGGCGACUAAGGAGGCACGGCUCCGUGAGGAUGUCCUUACAACUUUGCAACCCCCAAGGAAAAAGAGGUUGUUUUCCCAAUAUCUACUGUAAAACCUAAGAGGAAAAUUUCACGUUGCUGCAGCUUGGAUCAUGCAUUUAUCAUUUGGACCACCUCUGAGGACAGGGAGUUGCAAUGUGGAUUUUAUGGAAUAGAUGCUAUGUGGUGGAAUCCUGAGUCACGGCCAAACAGCAAAUGCCAGCAAGAGUAGAGUAGGAGGCAUUUCUGUGUACACUUUGGGAAAAAGUCCAUUCCUCACUUGGUUUCAUUUCUGGCCUGAGCCGCUGUGUCCUCCACCUGAAGCCCUGACCUCUCCGUUACUGACUGGAUCCCAAUGUGCCACAGUUCACCUGCAUAAGGAGGGGGUCGAAGGUGAGGAAAUGAGACAUCAAAAGAUUAAGUGACUUGCUAAAAUUUACACUGCCUACGAAAGCUGACCUGGAAUGUGAACCAGAAAUUGUCCUUAACCAAAUCACCUCACUGUCUCUCAAGAGAUGGGGUCUCACUACAUUGCCCAGGCUGGCUCUCAAA